RNAcentral lists this long non-coding RNA (199 nucleotides) under Lathyrus oleraceus (garden pea). Its description in RNAcentral is "Pisum sativum (pea) long non-coding RNA (PSAT_LNC019658)". The record is from RNAcentral. Lineage: Eukaryota; Viridiplantae; Streptophyta; Magnoliopsida; Fabales; Fabaceae.
UAUAGUAGUGAAAGACCUAGUAUAAUAAAUGGUAAAUUCAGGCUCUUAUAGGAUCCGACCCGAAAAUUACAAAAACUGGCCAAAACUAACUAUUUUAAUUAAGUCUGGAACUUCAAUGAAUUAUUUAACCUUCCUUCACUUAGAAUCAGCUUUUGACUUCAACAUGAAACUUUUAGAUUAUCCUCUCAGCUUUCCAACG